Long non-coding RNA from Canis lupus familiaris (dog), 2959 nucleotides. RefSeq lists it as uncharacterized. Lineage: Eukaryota; Metazoa; Chordata; Mammalia; Carnivora; Canidae. The record is from RefSeq and is a predicted model, not a curated record. The transcript is spliced from 3 exons.
UUGAGCGGGACACUGUUCAACUCAGUACAGGGGGCAAGAAACAGGGGUUCAGGCAGGUAAUCCUUUGACACUCGACGUGACCCUGGGACCUGUGCGUGGGGACUGGAGUCAGAAACAUCCUUUUAGGGCUUCUCAUCACUCCCAUCCUUUAAUCUAAGACUUAGCAGGUGGGCCUCCCGGUGGCUCAGGUGGGUGAGGAAUGAAUCUCUUCGUUCCCUGCUGGCUAAGUCCUCAGCACGCCAGAAUGAGUUUGGAUCAUCUUAUUGAAGGCUCUUCUCUGAAACGUCUCUGGGAAGAUCAAUGACUAAUUCUCCAAUCAGAGGCCCUCAUCAGAGAACCACAUUCGGAGCUUUCGUGACCAGAUCAGUGCCCUUCAGCUGUGAAGUAGGAAUCAAUACAUUUCAGGGCGCGGCACUAGAGGGGACCCUAUAAUGCGGCACCUUUCAGGGAGCACUCCUUAGGGAAGGCACUAACCACGGCCUGGAGGCUGGAGGGCGUGACCUGGGGCUGAUGGGAGGCUGAGCAGGAGAGGAGCUGUCUUCGACUUUUAAUUGAGAAGGUGACGGGACCCAUGAGCUUCACAAGUGGUCACCUUCCCAUUUCCCCACCAGGUGAGGGACGACGUUCCCAGGAAGCUGAUCUGUUUGGACAGAACAGAGGGGCCUGAGACUAAGCCAUCAUGAUGCUCCUUAGUGAACUCUGGGGCAGUCACCGAGCUUUCUCUGAGCAUCGGCAAAGGCAGAGGUAAAUUAGAGCCACGCAGGGACAUUAACAGGGCUGUUAGCUCAUUGGAGACGAAUCUCAGUGCCGCUUUGCACUUGCUCUUGUGACGACUCAGGAGUGUGGGAUGAGCUGGAAAAAGUGGAAAUGAGCAGGGUGUGAGCCAGGCAGAGCAGCUGGCCUCAGGCCCUAAUUUGGAGAAACACCAGCAUUUAGAGCAGCCCUUGCCAUCCCUCAUGGGAUGCGUAGCCAGCCCAGCACACGUUUUGAGUUAGAUGCCAUGAAUUAUUAUUUUCCCAGAGUAGGUGAUUUCCCUUGGAAUUUUUUUGGAAGGCAACUCCAGCCUCUCACACUGACGGUGACUCAGACCAACUUCGAAUCGCUUUCCCAGGUGGAAGCGUGUUUUAGGGGCAGUGCACAGAAGAGACCCCAGUGAAAGGAGUCGGCUUCACAACCCCGCUGCUCUGCUCUCCCUAAUUAGCUGGGUGACCAUGGGCAAAUCACUUAACCUUCCCGAGACCUGGAUUCAUCAUCUGCAAAACGUGGGCAGCGACACCAGCUGCUCUCCCGGCCCCAAGUCAUGGUGCUCGUGUGAGGCAAAAGGCAAAAUCAGCUGAAGCAACGUGAGGACAUGGAUGAGGUCACAUCAUCAGCUUGACCAGCUGAGCUGCUGCUGGGAAUUACAAGCAGGCUCAUUCUCCAAAACAUUAGCAAACACGGAUGCCCCAAGUCUCCACAUUCCCUGGACGACAAGCAUCAUGCCUGCCACAGGAAGCAACGUAACUAAUUUGAAACUCCAGAAAAUCUCUGAUCAUCUUGUUCCCAUCAUAAGUUGUGCCAGCCAUGUGCAAGCCCCCAGUGUGCUGUCAGACCUAGAGGCAUGUGUAGAGCAACGCAGCCUGCCCUUCAGGACUGAUGUGAAGACCCUCAAAGGGGACCUUUGGGGUUAGGCUCUGAGUGGCAGCCGAGGAGAGAACAGGAUCAGAAGGAGACAUGAGAGAGACCUGACAUGUUUCAGCCCCGAAAGACACCCCCCUCUCCCCCACCCCUGCCUGAGGUGUCCCACUCACCCACAUUCUCCCCUUUGACCUCCUCCCUGUCUUCCCUUCUCUUCCUUCUCCUCGUCCAUACAUCCUGGGCAGCUGCCUCAACGUCCUCCCCACCACCAUCCCAGCCCUGCUGUGUCUGGUGGUUCUGCUUACACCCCGCUCUAGAAAACCCAUCCUUGCACUUGCUGUAUCUAGUCUGGCCUCCCUUCUGACCUCUCAUGGUGCCACUGCUGACAGCAGGCUCCUCACUGGGUGCUAUGACAUUGCUGGGACCUACCCCUUCCUACCUCUCCCACCUUCCAGUUCUUGCCACCCUCCACAACCCCACAUGUGCUGUCCUACAGCUGGCUGCCCCUUCCCGCCAACAUUUCCUGGAGCCUGGUCCCAGGGUGACCAGCAUCUCCUGGGCUUGGUCUGGCAUGGCCACCUACUCAGUCUUCCUGAGGCUGGCCUGGGGCCAACUCAAUCAUUGCCCAUGUGCAGAUGCUGGUAGGGACAGAAGGUUUGUGUCUUCUGCAAAUUCAUGUUGAAAUCCCGACCCCCGAGGUCAUGGAUGGGGUUGGGUGGGAGGGGCUCUGAGAGGUGAUUAGGUCAUGAGGGUGGAGCCCCAUGAAGGAGUUGGCGCCCUUAUAAAAGGACCCCGGGAGUCUCCCUUACUCCUUCCUCCAUGUGAGGACACAGUGGGAAAGUACCUGUGUACAAGCCAAAGAACAGGCCCUCACCAGACAUUGAGUCUGCUAGCAUUGUGACCUUGGACUUCCAGCCUCCAGGACAGUGAGAAGUAAUUGUGUGCCAUAUCAGCCACCUGGUUGGUGGUUGGCCAGUGCAGCCCGUGUUGAUGGAGGCAUAUGGUCCCUGGGUCCAGCUUGUCCCCUGUCCUGCUCUCGAGUCCCUGGGCCAUGUAUCUGGUCUGACCUCAGAGCCACACUCCCAUCUCCAGACUGGACAGCCAGACUCAAACUCAGUACGUUCCCAGGAUCUCAGCCAGCUUUCCUUCCCUUCUCACUCCUACCGGGUCAGGCUUCUCCUCAAGAGCUGAGAGGCCCAGAAGCCCUUAUUUCCAGGCUGAUCCUUACCCCCCAUCACUGAGUUCUCAAGAUUUUCUGAACUCAGAGGGUCCCACUGGGGCUGACUUGGGCAGUGAGGUGGGAGAGAUAAUGAACAAGGCUGCAGUUUGAAUAAUAAAAUAA